AAUGUAUGAUACCGUUGAUUUUUUAUCCAACGUUUAACCAUUCGUCUUAUUCCAAACAUUUAUGUAAUUAUUAUAUAUUUUAUUGUGACUUGAUUCGUCAUCAAAUGUUCUUUAAGCAUGACAUAAAUAUUUUAAUAUUUGCACAAGAAAUUUGAAUAAAACGAAUGAUCAAACGUUGGUCAAAAAGUCAACGGCGUCAUACAUA
This is a non-coding RNA of Oryza glaberrima (African rice), 205 nucleotides long. Lineage: Eukaryota; Viridiplantae; Streptophyta; Magnoliopsida; Poales; Poaceae. The record is from Rfam.